Molecule: long non-coding RNA, 449 nt
Filed under: Durio zibethinus
Lineage: Eukaryota; Viridiplantae; Streptophyta; Magnoliopsida; Malvales; Malvaceae
Description: long non-coding RNA (DZIB_LNC001648)
Source: RNAcentral
UUAAUGGAGUGUUUUACUUGACAUAUGGGAUGCUAACAUGAGAUUGUCAAUGGAACUAUCAACUAUCUUUCAAGGUAUAAGAAUAAGGAUAAAGCUUGGCUUAAUGGAAGUUGAACUCCACUUUUAUUCAAAUAUCAUGCCAUGCUGAUCUCCAUCUCUUGAUCUAAUGGCUAAGGAGAUUUUAUAAGCACAUAAAAAUCUUAAUUUCGAGUUAUGAUCUCCUCCCAUUUCUUUCUUAUAAAGGCAAUGCCUUUCUUUGAAUAAAAAAAAAAAAAAAUUAUGCCAUGCCACGAACUCUUGGACAUAAGAAUAUGAUGCUAAGGGUUUAAGUUAACCCUAUCUUAGCCCAAAAUUGACAACUCUAUGGUAUUCCUUGCAAAGUCAAAAGUUUAUAAUUAAUAUCAUGAUAUUUACCUUUAAUGGUAAGAAAUUUUUUUUUUUAAAUUUUG